AACGAACGCUGGCGGCGUGCUUAACACAUGCAAGUCGAGUGCGCGCUUCGGUAGCAAUACUGGAGUGGCGCACGGCGCACGGGUGCGUAACACGUGGGUAAUCUGCCCUUCGAUGGGGAAUAACCUCGCGAAAGCGAGGCUAAUUCCGCAUAACAUUCCGAGGAUUUCGGUUCUUGGAUUCAAAGGAGCAAUUCGUCGGAGGAGGAGCCCGCGCACGAUUAGCUAGUUGGUAGGGUAAUGGCCUACCAAGGCUUUGAUCGUUAGCUGGUC
RNAcentral lists this ribosomal RNA (270 nucleotides) under uncultured bacterium. RNAcentral describes it as "partial 16S ribosomal RNA". It matches the Rfam family "Bacterial small subunit ribosomal RNA", at positions 29 to 292 of the family's 1533-position model. The record is from RNAcentral.